This 23-nucleotide small nuclear RNA is filed under the name Arabidopsis thaliana (thale cress). RNAcentral describes it as "snRNA_00987". Lineage: Eukaryota; Viridiplantae; Streptophyta; Magnoliopsida; Brassicales; Brassicaceae. The record is from RNAcentral.
GCAAAGCUUUCAAGCGUGAUGAU